UGUAGAGAUCGGAUGCUAUUCCUUGAUAAUGAUUUCGAUUUCAUCAACGAGUGUAAUUUCUUUGAUUAAAAAAGUGACUGUGAGUCAACAUGUCAGGAGCUCAAGAAGAUGUCUCCAUAAAAAAGGUACUCAAUAAUCUACUUCAGAUUUUAAAUUCAUGUUUAGGUUGAAUCAUUUGAUUCUAGUCGUGACAUUCAAAAUUUUCAUAUUUAUUAGGUAUUGACACUCAUCCCAUAAUGAGCUGCAACCAAUCAAGCCUGCCUGCAACCACAUGGGAUUGCUGUCAGCUUCCCGCCAAAGAAGCAGCUUCAGGACACCAAGGCAGAAUCAUUAGAAACAUUCAAUGAAGGGGUUGGUUAUAUUUUGAAUAAUUGGUUGGCUCUUUGAGGCACUGUUGAUUACCAACAAGGUGGCAAAAACUCUCACCUCAAAGCUAAAAAACUCAUUAACGAAAUCCGUUCUUGGUUCAUUCAAUCCAAUGAUUUCAAGUGAUAUCAGACAUUUGAAGUGUUCAAGAAGCUGUUCAGCCGCCAUUGCUGUCUUUUUGGCUAAAAGAAAUCUAAACCUAAUCUUUGAGUUUGAAUGCCACCAUCGAUCUCGUUUGUUGGUUCCAUAAAAACGGUGAAACAGUACAUGAUUACGCCUACCCCAGCACAUUCAGAGAGGAAGACCAUCACCCAUGUUGGAAGGGAGGCAGAAUUAAUGCCUCUAUGAAGUUUGAUAGGGAUUUGAGCUAUAGCCCUACACAGUCUAAGUUAGACUUAGAAUUCGCGAUGAUAAUGUCCUUGUCUGCACAAGAGGCAGCCACAUUCUGCUCAAGUAUUUUCUGAAGUGAAAGCCAUCCUAGAGGAAGUUGAAGAAGCAACAGAGGAAGGCUUCACUAUACUAUGUCUUAUUAUUGUCUAGAUACUGAGCAACAUAUCUAUACAUAUCCCAUCAUCAUACACUGUGGAGUAUGCUGAGAAAAACCGAGAAAACGGCCUAAGGUCUGACUAGAGGAGAGGAUAACGGAAUCAUACAUGAUUUCAAGUGAAAUCAGACAUUUGAAGUGUUCAAGAAGCUGUUCAGCCGCCAUUGCUUUCUUUUUGGCCAAAAGAAAUCUAAACCUAAUCUUUGAGUUUGAAUGCCACCGUCGAUCUCGUUUGUUGGUUCCAUAAAAACGGUACUAAAAAAUUAUCAUUUACAUGGUAAAUGUCUUUGUUUCAGUUUGGCUAAAAUUAUCGUUUGUUUCAGUUUAAAUCAUUUACGACUUCACAUUUUGCUGCUGACUUUGUUU
This is a long non-coding RNA of Medicago truncatula (barrel medic), 1276 nucleotides long. RefSeq lists it as uncharacterized. The transcript is spliced from 4 exons. NCBI's taxonomy places the organism in Eukaryota, Viridiplantae, Streptophyta, Magnoliopsida, Fabales, Fabaceae. The record is from RefSeq and is a predicted model, not a curated record.